UAUUUUGGGAAGAAUUUAAUAUAUUCUCUAUUGUUAAGUGCACCAGAUGCUGGACUUCUGAAACAACAAUUAUGCUUCAGCAUAAUAGCAUUUUCUACAUAUUUCUGUUCAUGUUGUUUGUUCCUCUGAUUUACCCGGAAUCAAUGAAUCUGAAAAACAAAAAGAUUCUUUAAGCACCUGGUAAAUUUCAGGUCCCACAUUAGAAAAUGAGCAAGCAUCAAUAAUAUUGAUGGAGGUGAAAAUAUGACACUGAGACUUCCAGGUAACGUCCCGAGUUUACUUUCAUAGUUUACUAGGCUCAGGUUUCAUGGCGAAGGAUUAUUUGAAAGACUCACUCACUGACAUGUGCUGAUUUUCUGAUUUUAAAUUUGAACACUCCCAAAGCAUAAACAGAUCACCUCCAGCAACACUGUAAAAAAAUACUCAAAGUUUAAAAAAAAAGGAGUAACUUGUAGCAGUACUUAGUGUCCAACAGAAAACACUCCAUCUGCUAAACAAUAUCUCGACUGCAAAGCUUAUCUUACUGUUGGCGGAUAGAUAAUGACAUAGCCCAGUCAUUAUCACCGUGGCAACAGUGACCAGAAACUAUCAGAGGAAAAUUGCACAUGGAACAGCUGGCUCUCGAGCAGGCAUGCCUCAGCUUCCUCUGGAGUAUGCUUUUUCUGCAAGUCUGGUGUGCUAGAGGGUACUACCAACCCCAUGCGGCUCCAAGACUACAGAUUAUAUAAAUCCACUGGUCCUGCUCUUCCGGAUUUAUUCUUCCCGCCAAUAGGAGCACUUACCACGUUCCAAGCACCGUCCUAGGCACUGAGGAUACAGCAGUGAAUAAAGUUGAGUGCCGGGUAGAGAAGUCAAUAACCAAGCUAGUAAAUCCUGUAUAUUGUCAAACACUGGUAAGAACAAGGGAGACUAGCACAAGCAAUGGGCCUAAGGAGGCUUGCUUUCCCUCCUCUGCACUCCCACACUGCUUUGUAUCUGCUUCUCAUUUGUCACGCUGGCUCCAAGCUUUGGGCACCAGGUCUCCCUGGACAUUCCGCCCUGGCACCGCACCUAGCACCCAGCGGCUGCUCAGGAGACGUUUGUAGAAUGAACGAAGUCACUUCUUAGUUCCCCGUUCAACAAACCUUUCCUGAUCCUAGGCCCAACAGCUUAAAAGGCUGGAGGACCAACGAGGCUGGAAACUCAGAGGCGGCCGAACGCGGUGGCUCACGCCUGUAAUCCCAGCACUUUAAGAGGCCGAGGCAGGAGGAUCCCUUGAAGCCAGGAGUUCGAGACCAGCCUGGGCAACAAAGUGAGACCACCCUCCCCCCCCCCACACUUCCGUCUCUACAAAAAGAAAGGAAGAAAAACGAAACCCAGAGGAAAUCACACAGGCAAAAGCGCUUUACAAACUUUAAAAAUGAAAAUUGUUCUAGAGAAAUAAUCGCGCGCCGGAGGCGGAAGCCCCAGAGCCUCAGCUCCCACGUGGCGGCGGAGCCGAGGGAGGGUCCAGGAGCCGAGGCUACAGCCCGAGCGCUGGAACCCCGGUCAGGCUCCCGCUCUCCGCCACGACGAACCGCAUUCGGCCGCGGCGCUCCGUAGGCGCCCAGGGACGCACACCUAAGCUGGGAGACGCGGAUACUAGCCCGGCCUAGCUCCGCUACCUCCCAAGAGACCGGAACCACGGGCCCACCAACCGCGUUGCCAUGGCAAUUCAACCACCGCCGACACCGGAACCGGAAACUUCAUUGGGAGGUGACCCCUUCCCGGCAUCCGCGGAAUGGGCAAGUCCCGCGCCUCUCCCAGUUGUCUCAGGGUAUCCCAGCUGGCCUCAUUGGCUCACGGGAGGAAAGUCGUCUUCCCUCUUGUUUUGCCUCUCGUUGCCCU
This is a long non-coding RNA of Macaca fascicularis (crab-eating macaque), 1866 nucleotides long. The record is from Ensembl. Lineage: Eukaryota; Metazoa; Chordata; Mammalia; Primates; Cercopithecidae.